AAAAGGAAAAAGAGUUUGAUCAGUAGUCUGUUUCUAAAUAGUCUCCGCCGGAUCCUCCUCUAUUUAUAUAAGAAUAAACUCAUCUCUCUCUCACAAGUCAUAAACGUAGACUACAAAUAAAUCUCUCUCUCUCUCUCUCUCUCUCUCUCUCACAAGUCAUAAACGUAGACUACAAAUAAAUCUCUCUCUCUCUCUCUCUCGACAAAGACUAGUAAUAAUGGCUGGUGGCGAUUUGAUCGUGAGCUUCGGCGAGAUGCUGAUCGACUUCGUGCCGACGGUGUCGGGCGUUUCACUGGCGGAAGCACCGGGAUUCCUCAAAGCUCCGGGAGGCGCGCCGGCGAACGUGGCGAUCGCGGUGGCGAGGCUGGGAGGAAAGGCGGCGUUCGUCGGGAAGCUAGGAGACGACGAGUUCGGUCACAUGCUCGCCGGAAUACUCAAGGAGAAUGGAGUGUCCGGCGACGGAAUCAAGUUCGAUCAAGGAGCUCGAACAGCGCUGGCGUUCGUGACACUACGCGCCGACGGGGAGCGUGAGUUUAUGUUCUACAGGAAUCCGAGUGCCGACAUGUUGUUGACUCCCGAGGAGUUGAAUCUGGAUCUCAUCAAAUCUGUACGUACUUGCUUCAC
Molecule: long non-coding RNA, 624 nt
Filed under: Daucus carota (carrot)
Lineage: Eukaryota; Viridiplantae; Streptophyta; Magnoliopsida; Apiales; Apiaceae
Description: long non-coding RNA (DCAR_LNC005573)
Source: RNAcentral